UUCGUUCGUCCAUUGCACUUUAGAUUCUCUCUCCAAUAUCAAAAACUUGGUAUUAACAUGUUUUAAUCCUGUUUUAAGCACCAGUUAAGAUUAGCAACAUAAAAAAAACCUCAGCUAAUACACCACCCUGAUGAUAGUGUCUUAAGCUCCACGCAUUUCAUUUCAUCAUCAGGCUCCUAAAGAAGAAUCCCUCCUUGUGUCCAAAUUGGAAUCCGAUGAUCAGGAUGAUUCCAGUGGGGGAAUAUCUGUCCAGCUUUCCACACCAAGUUCUCGUGAGAAGUUCUUUCUGAGAGAGCGCUUGGUUCGUCACCACAGAGAAACAUUCCUCCACCAUUUUUAAGCUUUUGCUCCAUCCCACUUAUUUAAAGAGCUCACACUCCGCAAGUUGGACCUCCUACACACACUCUCAAAGAGAAGAGAAGAUUGAUAGUGAAAAGAUGGACGCGUUAGCUUCCGACAGCGUCCCAUGGCUGUCACGGCUGCUAUCCGCUCUAAGAACUGGAAUUGCAUGCUUACUUGUCUUGCUUGGUGUGUCCAAAGCCAGCCGUUUUGUUGAAUUCCCCGUCUUUGGAUAUGUUGUCACAGUUCUCGUGCUCAGCGAGUCGGCACUCGGCAAAGCUCUCGAAGAUGCUGCCUUUGUCAUGUAUGGAACUCUCCAGGCUGCUGCAUUCUCGAUGGUGGUGCUGUCGAUCAUAGGUGAGUCAGUGGUUUCUCUCGAGUUUAACAAAAGGGAAAGCACCUGGGAGCUGAUCAUCGUCUUGGUUUUUGCCUCCUCCAUUCCUCCAGGAACGAAGAACUUCUCGCUCGGCGUGUGCCUCACUUGUAUCUUCGUCAAGAGCUUCCUGUGGAGCUAUCUCCCGAACCAAAAGCCAGUGAAGAAGAGGCUCGCGCUGGCCAUCACCACCAUCGUCUACGUGAAUGCGUACAACAAUCCCCUGACUCAUCCGGUCUUCUUUCCGCUCAAGUUGACGCUCACCACCACGCUCGGCACUGUGUCUGCGAUAAUUGCCUUGAUAUUCCCCGUGCCACGCCUCUCAGCUUAUCAGGUACCAUUCGCUUUACUUUGAGUCAUUCACCCCCCUUUAAAGUUUUUGGUUCCUCCAUUCUCCCCGCAAGCCGUGUCUUGUAGGAACACUCAGCCGGCAUGCCACUUUCCGUCACGAUUCCGUCCAAAAGCCUUUGAUCCACCUAGGAAGCCUUCCUUUCGGUCCCAACACUUCCAAGCUUCAUAACCUCUGCGCUUACGUUUGUUCUUCUGCUUCACAGGUGCAAUAUAACACGAAGCUCUUCGCCAAGCUCGCGAUGGAAAACUUUGCUGUCCUUGUCCAUGCAUUCUGCAGUAACGACCAAGAAGAGAUCACGAGUUUGUGCCUGCAAUCCAAAUCAGUGCAGCGAGCUGCUUUGAAAGCGUACUCGGAGAUACAGAGAAGAAAAGUAACGUACCUCAGAGAAGGAAACUCUCUCAUACUGACAGUGUGUGCUACAUACAGGUUGAAACAGCUUGGGAGCCUGGGGUUUUGGUUCAAGCAAGGAGUCAAGGUGAAAACGUGAGCCGAAUGAUAACCAACAUGAAUCAGUACCUGAUUGGGAUGAACAUCGCGAUUCAGCAAGGUGCAGCUGUUUCGAAGCUGGUUCAAGAUAUGACGAGGAACUCCUUGGAGAAACUCGGGAGCUGGAGCAACUCUUUUCUG
RNAcentral lists this long non-coding RNA (1691 nucleotides) under Selaginella moellendorffii. RNAcentral's name for it is "long non-coding RNA (SMOE_LNC000183)". The record is from RNAcentral. Lineage: Eukaryota; Viridiplantae; Streptophyta; Lycopodiopsida; Selaginellales; Selaginellaceae.